Molecule: ribosomal RNA, 254 nt
Filed under: Escherichia coli
Lineage: Bacteria; Pseudomonadati; Pseudomonadota; Gammaproteobacteria; Enterobacterales; Enterobacteriaceae
Description: partial 16S ribosomal RNA
Rfam family: Bacterial small subunit ribosomal RNA
Source: RNAcentral
CCAGCGGUCCGGCCGGGAACUCAAAGGAGACUGCCAGUGAUAAACUGGAGGAAGGUGGGGAUGACGUCAAGUCAUCAUGGCCCUUACGACCAGGGCUACACACGUGAUACAAUGGCGCAUACAAAGAGAAGCGACCUCGGGAGAGCAAGCGGACCUCAUAAAGUGCGUCGUAGUCCGGAUUGGAGUCUGCAACUCGACUCCAUGAAGUCGGAAUCGUAGUAAUCGUGGAUCAGAAUGCCACGGUGAAUACGUUC